GCGUUUGUGGUUUAGUGGUAAAAUUCGUCGUUGCCAUUCAAUAAUGAUAUCGACGAGCCCCGGGUUCAAUUCCCGGCGGACGCA
RNAcentral lists this transfer RNA (84 nucleotides) under Dactylellina haptotyla CBS 200.50. It matches the Rfam family "tRNA". Rfam says of the family: Transfer RNA (tRNA) molecules are approximately 80 nucleotides in length. Their secondary structure includes four short double-helical elements and three loops (D, anti-codon, and T loops). The record is from Rfam by way of RNAcentral. Lineage: Eukaryota; Fungi; Ascomycota; Orbiliomycetes; Orbiliales; Orbiliaceae.